AGAAUCAACGCUGGCGGCGUGCCUCAGACAUGCAAGUCGAACGCGAAAGUCCCCUUCGGGGGGCAAGUAGAGUGGCGCACGGGUGAGUAACACGUAGGUAAUCUACCUUCGGAUGGGGAAUAACAAUCGGAAACGGUUGCUAAUACCGCAUAAUGCAGCGGCACCUAAUGGUGACAGUUGUUAAAGCGGGGGAUCGAAAGACCUCGCGUCUGAAGAGGAGCCUGCGGCGGAUUAGCUAGUUGGUAAGGUAACGGCUUACCAAGGCGACGAUCCGUA
RNAcentral lists this ribosomal RNA (276 nucleotides) under uncultured soil bacterium. RNAcentral's name for it is "partial 16S ribosomal RNA". It matches the Rfam family "Bacterial small subunit ribosomal RNA", at positions 26 to 285 of the family's 1533-position model. The record is from RNAcentral.